AUUUUAUUGUUAAGAGUAAUGAAUUAUUGAGGUUUCUGAACAUAGAUCCACCUGAUAUUGACAGUGACAGAUUUGUUUUUUUUUUUUAAUCUACCAUUAGCUUAGCAUUGUAGCUGGUUGGCUGAGUUGAAUUUUAAACAAUAGAUUUACUACUUAAAUAAGUAGUAGAUGGUUUGUGAGUAGUAAUUACAUGUUUAAUAUAAACCGCACACUAAUAAUCAUAUGUAUGUUAUUAAUUUCUGUUAGUUACUAAUUAAAUGUAAACUAGAACACGCAGAAUAGCAAUAUCUAAACGCAUUUUACAAUUCAACUGUCAAAAAAGUAAACGUAAACCAGAUCCAACAUUUCUUUAAAGGUAUUUUUUAAUAGAUUUAAUGGAAAAGUUUUCAAAAGUAGAGAAAAUCGGCGAAGGAACAUAUGGAGUUGUAUAUAAAGCAAAAGACCGCGAAACUGGAAAUGAAAUCGCUUUAAAGAAAAUCAAACUAGAAAAUGAACCCGAGGGUGUGCCCUCCACAGCCUUGCGCGAGAUCUCAGUGCUGCGAACACUGCGGCAUGAAGGCGUGGUCCGGCUGCUGGACGUACUACUGGCUGACCGGAAGCUUUUCCUUGUGUUUGAGUACAUGCACAUGGACCUCAAGCGGCUCAUGGACCUCACGAGGGGCCCGCUGCGUCCAGAGCUCGUCAAGAGCUACGUGCGCCAACUAGCCGCAGGCCUCGCUUACUGCCACUCCGCGCGCGUCCUUCACCGAGACCUUAAACCACAAAACCUUCUCGUGGACACUGCGGGACGCAUCAAGCUCGCGGAUUUCGGCCUCGCGCGCGCGUUUGCUCUUCCUGUCCGAGCCUAUACACACGAGGUGGUGACGCUAUGGUAUCGGGCGCCCGAGAUCCUGCUGGGCGCCAAAUUCUACUCUACCGCCGUCGAUGUGUGGAGUCUCGGCUGCAUUUACGCUGAAAUGAUGAGUGGGCGCACGCUCUUCCCCGGCGACAGCGAGAUCGACCAGCUGUUCCGCGUGUUCCGCGCGCUCGGCACUCCGGGCGGAGCCCUGUGGGCGCGGGCGCGGCGCCUGCCCGACUACCGCGCCGCCUUCCCGCGCUGGCCGCCGCGCCAGCCCCGCGAGCUGCUGCCGCAGGCCGCGCAGCUGGUGCCGCACGCUGCCGACCUGCUGGACGCGCUGCUGAGGUACUGUCCCCCUCCCCCUGCCCGACUACCGCGCCGCCUUCCCGCGCUGGCCGCCGCGCCAGCCCCGCGAGCUGCUGCCGCAGGCCGCGCAGCUGGUGCCGCACGCUGCCGACCUGCUGGACGCGCUGCUGAGGUACUGUCCCCCUCCCCCUGCCCGACUACCGCGCCGCCUUCCCGCGCUGGCCGCCGCGCCAGCCCCGCGAGCUGCUGCCGCAGGCCGCGCAGCUGGUGCCGCACGCUGCCGACCUGCUGGACGCGCUGCUGAGGUACUGUCCCCCUCCCCCUGCCCGACUACCGCGCCGCCUUCCCGCGCUGGCCGCCGCGCCAGCCCCGCGAGCUGCUGCCGCAGGCCGCGCAGCUGGUGCCGCACGCUGCCGACCUGCUGGACGCGCUGCUGAGGUACUGUCCCCCUCCCCCUGCCCGACUACCGCGCCGCCUUCCCGCGCUGGCCGCCGCGCCAGCCCCGCGAGCUGCUGCCGCAGGCCGCGCAGCUGGUGCCGCACGCUGCCGACCUGCUGGACGCGCUGCUGAGGUACUGUCCCCCUCCCCCUGCCCGACUACCGCGCCGCCUUCCCGCGCUGGCCGCCGCGCCAGCCCCGCGAGCUGCUGCCGCAGGCCGCGCAGCUGGUGCCGCACGCUGCCGACCUGCUGGACGCGCUGCUGAGGUACUGUCCCCCUCCCCCUGCCCGACUACCGCGCCGCCUUCCCGCGCUGGCCGCCGCGCCAGCCCCGCGAGCUGCUGCCGCAGGCCGCGCAGCUGGUGCCGCACGCUGCCGACCUGCUGGACGCGCUGCUGAGGUACUGUCCCCCUCCCCCUGCCCGACUACCGCGCCGCCUUCCCGCGCUGGCCGCCGCGCCAGCCCCGCGAGCUGCUGCCGCAGGCCGCGCAGCUGGUGCCGCACGCUGCCGACCUGCUGGACGCGCUGCUGAGGUACUGUCCCCCUCCCCCUGCCCGACUACCGCGCCGCCUUCCCGCGCUGGCCGCCGCGCCAGCCCCGCGAGCUGCUGCCGCAGGCCGCGCAGCUGGUGCCGCACGCUGCCGACCUGCUGGACGCGCUGCUGAGGUACUGUCCCCCUCCCCCUGCCCGACUACCGCGCCGCCUUCCCGCGCUGGCCGCCGCGCCAGCCCCGCGAGCUGCUGCCGCAGGCCGCGCAGCUGGUGCCGCACGCUGCCGACCUGCUGGACGCGCUGCUGAGGUACUGUCCCCCUCCCCCUGCCCGACUACCGCGCCGCCUUCCCGCGCUGGCCGCCGCGCCAGCCCCGCGAGCUGCUGCCGCAGGCCGCGCAGCUGGUGCCGCACGCUGCCGACCUGCUGGACGCGCUGCUGAGGUACUGUCCCCCUCCCCCUGCCCGACUACCGCGCCGCCUUCCCGCGCUGGCCGCCGCGCCAGCCCCGCGAGCUGCUGCCGCAGGCCGCGCAGCUGGUGCCGCACGCUGCCGACCUGCUGGACGCGCUGCUGAGGUACUGUCCCCCUCCCCCUGCCCGACUACCGCGCCGCCUUCCCGCGCUGGCCGCCGCGCCAGCCCCGCGAGCUGCUGCCGCAGGCCGCGCAGCUGGUGCCGCACGCUGCCGACCUGCUGGACGCGCUGCUGAGGUACUGUCCCCCUCCCCCUGCCCGACUACCGCGCCGCCUUCCCGCGCUGGCCGCCGCGCCAGCCCCGCGAGCUGCUGCCGCAGGCCGCGCAGCUGGUGCCGCACGCUGCCGACCUGCUGGACGCGCUGCUGAGGUACUGUCCCCCUCCCCCUGCCCGACUACCGCGCCGCCUUCCCGCGCUGGCCGCCGCGCCAGCCCCGCGAGCUGCUGCCGCAGGCCGCGCAGCUGGUGCCGCACGCUGCCGACCUGCUGGACGCGCUGCUGAGGUACGAGCCCGCGGAGCGCCUGUCCGCGCGAGCAGCCCUGCAGCACCCGUUCCUGCAGGACGCGCGCCUCACGCCGCCCGAGCUGCCGCCGGCCGCCUGCCCGGCGCGCCCCGCCGCCGACCUGCACCUGUGACCCUCGUCGCCCAGACCGCUCCACACCCACAUGCGUCAGGGACGUCCGCUCCGCUCGACCUUUUGAUACGGAAUGAAAUUGUAGAGCACUCACGAUGCGAAUAGUGACGAAAGACCCGCAUGAUUGUUAAACGAUGCCGAUAGAACUAUUUUUAUAAAUUGUUUUAACCUGCAGUUGGCUGCUAAACCAUAUUUUUAUAUCCCAGGUACGAGAUAGAUUACGUAGUAAUUUGGCCAAUCGAACUGUCAUGUUAGUAUCUAGAAUAUAAAAACAAAAAUCUGUUAUGUUUGGACCGCUAUUACUGUUAAAAAAUUACUUAUGAACUUCUGGAAGUGCUACAAUGUAUGGGUCCAUUUUUGACCACCAAUUUUGCAAUUUAGAUUCAGGAUGAUCUCGCUGUUGAACUGUCCAGUAUCGGCGACGACGCAAAUUUGACUGAUAACGUAUUAUAAUAGCGACUAAUAUAAAUAUAAUAUUAAGAGAAAUGGAAAAGAACCUGUCAUAAGUAUAUCACUAUAAAUAGCGGCGCAGUCGCCGCGACAGGCUCUGUUAUCCCCUCACAUGUAAUGUUAUUUGUAAGCGAUUUAAAUAAAAUUAUUGAAAUCUUAUAUUAAA
This is an RNA transcript of Cydia pomonella (codling moth), 3793 nucleotides long. It is a transcript of the gene named cyclin-dependent kinase 2-like, with no coding region annotated. The record is from RefSeq and is a predicted model, not a curated record. The transcript is spliced from 6 exons. Lineage: Eukaryota; Metazoa; Arthropoda; Insecta; Lepidoptera; Tortricidae.